This 84-nucleotide transfer RNA is filed under the name Candidatus Rifleibacteriota bacterium. RNAcentral's name for it is "tRNA-Leu". It matches the Rfam family "tRNA". From Rfam's summary of the family: Transfer RNA (tRNA) molecules are approximately 80 nucleotides in length. Their secondary structure includes four short double-helical elements and three loops (D, anti-codon, and T loops). RNAcentral also lists the same sequence under 1 other name. Lineage: Bacteria; Candidatus Rifleibacteriota. The record is from RNAcentral.
GCCGGAAUGGCGGAAUUGGCAGACGCACGGGACUCAAAAUCCCGCGCCCGCAAGGGCAUGACGGUUCGACCCCGUCUUCCGGCA